Molecule: small RNA, 126 nt
Filed under: Salmonella enterica subsp. enterica serovar Saintpaul
Lineage: Bacteria; Pseudomonadati; Pseudomonadota; Gammaproteobacteria; Enterobacterales; Enterobacteriaceae
Description: partial RtT sRNA
Rfam family: RtT RNA
About the family: This family represents a bacterial cis-regulatory element known as RtT RNA. The exact function of RtT is unknown although it is thought that it may be involved in changing the cellular response in relation to amino acid starvation.
Source: RNAcentral
UCUCUGUACGGGAAGGAUGAGAAGCUUCGACCAGGGUUCGAUUCGAGCGCAGCGAGAAAGCGUUGCCGCAGGCAACGACCCGAAGGGCGAAGCGCGCAGCGCUGAGUCAUCCUUCCCCCACCACCA